CAGGACGAACGCUGGCGGCGUGCUUAACACAUGCAAGUCGAACGGUGACCCAGGGCUUGCCCUGGUGAUCAGUGGCGAACGGGUGAGUAACACGUGGGCAACCUGCCCCUGACUUCGGGAUAACUCCUCGAAAGAGGAGCUAAUACCGGAUACGACCACUUCGGACAUCCGAUGGUGGUGGAAAGUUCUUCGGUCAGGGAUGGGCCCGCGGCCUAUCAGCUAGUUGGUGGGGUAAUGGCCUACCAAGGCGACGACGGGUAGCCGGCCUGAGAGGGCGACCGGCCACACUGGGACUGAGACACGGCCCAGACUCCUACGGGAGGCAGCAGUGGGGAAUAUUGCGCAAUGGGCGAAAGCCUGACGCAGCGACGCCGCGUGAGGGAUGAAGGCCUUCGGGUUGUAAACCUCUUUCAGCAGGGACGAAGCGAAAGUGACGGUACCUGCAGAAGAAGCACCGGCUAACUACGUG
This 469-nucleotide ribosomal RNA is filed under the name uncultured bacterium. Its description in RNAcentral is "bacterial SSU rRNA". It matches the Rfam family "Bacterial small subunit ribosomal RNA", at positions 25 to 507 of the family's 1533-position model. The record is from RNAcentral.